UUGAGAUUAAUGCCUCUCGAC
RNAcentral lists this non-coding RNA (21 nucleotides) under Arabidopsis thaliana (thale cress). Lineage: Eukaryota; Viridiplantae; Streptophyta; Magnoliopsida; Brassicales; Brassicaceae. The record is from RNAcentral.